UGCAGCACCAACUCGCUCACAGGAAUGUUGCCUUUACAGGUUUCUCUUUUAAUUAUCCUGGAAGCAGGGGUGGGGGGAAAGUAAAGAAGAAGAAGCAGGGUGGUUAAAUUAGCGUGCUGGAAUCUUUUCAGUUUGUCGCAGAGUAGAAAAAUAAAAAAGGGGAAAAAAGGCUCAGUAAUUUAAAUUUGCUCUCAGUUCAGUCUGCAUCAUUGGGUCCCGCCCCUUCUUCCUGCUGGGUUCCACUACCUGCAAGCCUGGAAUUGACAGCUACUGUGCAAACAAAAAAAGGCAACAAGCAUGCUGGGACCAUUCUGUCUGCAGCUUGGGUCUCGCUUGUCCUGAAAACUAAAAAUCAUCAGUGGAAAGUUAUGGGCCCCCUUCAUGACCUGUUGGCCUUCUUCCUCACAUGUCUUCUCACAAGCAAUUCCUGGCCAAGAAAGGGAAGCAGGAUUUUGCAUUUCUUCUCAUGGAUUUUUAUGAAAAACGGGUGAUAAAAUCAAGUACAAUUCAGAAAUAGACAUUGGAGAAGAGCCAAGUGUAUUAUACAGCCCUUUUACAUCCUUGUUAUUGCCUAGCUCUUUUUGUGAUGCCAUGUGAGAAUUAAGAUGUGGGGAAGUGGAACAAGAAAUACUGAUGCUCUGACUCUGCAAUGACUCCAAAGCCCAUCAUCAACUUCACGGAGAAGCGCAAAGCUGAAGGAACAAGACCGCAUGUGUUUCUUUUUAUCAUAUAGUGACAAGGUUUGUUUUUGGCUUUUCAGCUGAUCCUCACCAGCCUUCAAAUUCUAAUAGAAGGAAAUUCUUUUAAAGGGAAGAGCAAAAGGAAUAUGCGUAUUUUACAAGGCUUCCAGCACUUUGGAUUUAAACAAUAUGGCAUCAAUAUGAAAUAAGUGAUUGCAUUUAUUUCUGACAAUUCUAACUAAACUACCUGUCACUUAAAGUUCAGAAUUAUGUCUUACUAUUUUUUGUACUCUCCCUUAAAAACAUCUAUUACAGUCAUUGGUAUA
Molecule: long non-coding RNA, 1006 nt
Organism: Myotis myotis
Lineage: Eukaryota; Metazoa; Chordata; Mammalia; Chiroptera; Vespertilionidae
Exons: 5
Source: RefSeq, a predicted model, not a curated record